UGUACACACAUACACACAUACAUACAUACAUAUCAACAUCCAAAUUGGAUGAUUAAGUCCAACUAUGAUUUGUCUUCACGCCUAUUAAAAAGAAGAGUGCACUAAAGAUAAUAUGACAAUGGUGAUGAUAUUACAUUCCCCAAAUCAAUUCAUUUUUUUUAAUUGUGUACAAAAACAACAUGAACAAUAAAACAAGCAAACAAACAAGAAAACUUGUAUAUUGAAGAGCUUACCAGUAGUAUUGAGGAUGAAGAAUGGUCUUCAUACAGAGUUCACAAAGUUCAAUUGCAUUCCCAGAAAGAGUUUCAACUGGGUGUGAAAGAGUUUCACAAGAUCCCCAUCUUCCAAAAUGGACCCAGAAUGUUACUAUCCCAUCGUCAAUUAUUUGUUUGUUGCCCUACAAAAAUCUUCUAAUGUUGAAUUUACAUUUACACAACCCCUGGAAAAUUCCUUGACAGCACAUAACAAAUCAGAGAACUAUAUUUUGGAUGUGCUGGAAAUCAAAGGCUCUUGAAGGCAAAAGGAAGGAGCCCAUGCAACAACAAGAGGGAAGUUGGUAAGGAAAAGGAUAUGUCUCUGUCUGUGGUUUCCUCAUCUCAUCCAGAUGCCAAUCUCCACGUGUGUGUUUGUUUGUCUGUGUGCGAGUGAGAGUAUGUGAGUGUGUGUGUGAGUGUGUAUUCAGGCUCAUCAUGGAUUCCUUCCACAGAGCCAAAGGCAAGCAGCCAAAACUCUGCAUUGCACAGCACUGCCUUAAAACCAAUCACAUUCCCAUUUCAUUAUGUUGUAUGCAUGACUACCCAGUGAGGUUGCCAGCACCCCACCUCCAUCUAGACAGGAAAAUAAGAUGAAAAAUGAAUGAAUCAUGAUUUAUACUCACACAGCAAGAGAGAGAGAGAGAGAGAGAGAGAGAGAACAAAGAUACAGUGUUCUGUAUAGAAAAUUCUCUUGCAGUGUAUAGAAAGGUGUGUGGAGUAUUAUACUCAUGAGGGUAAGAAUAUAUAUAUAUAUAUAUAUAAAAAUGAGACAUAAAUAAACAAAACAAGACCUGACCAGAAUUAACUGU
Molecule: long non-coding RNA, 1063 nt
Filed under: Physcomitrium patens
Lineage: Eukaryota; Viridiplantae; Streptophyta; Bryopsida; Funariales; Funariaceae
Description: long non-coding RNA (PPAT_LNC004277)
Source: RNAcentral